CUAUUUCAAAGCGUCACCUGGUCUGUGGUAACUGUUGAAUCACAGUCUGAGCCACUGAUUAUCACCUAGGGAAGGGACCUGGUCAGCCCUGGUUAGUGCAGGUGAGGGCAAUGCAGCUGAGUGACUGGAAGGGAUGGAGCCUGGCUGCACCUCUCUUACAGCUCAUUUUUGAAGGCUGACUGCCACUAGAGAAGGAUAUCUGGUUGAGGAUCCCUCCCUUGUGAGUUUUCCUUGUGAGUCUUGAUCUUUGGAGAUAGGUGAGCACUUUUCCUUUCUAACACCUUUCCAUUCAAGCUAGUCCCUUUGCUACUACGCUCCUGUAUCAUCUUUCCACCACGCUGACCUUUCUGAUAGUUAUACCCAGCGAAGAUCACAAGUUAUCCCAAUGAAAAGCCCACACAUAGACUUUUUCCUGGAUACAGUUUCAUCUUGCAGCCUUGAAUGUACAAAGAUGCAGACUUGCUGAGGUGAAUGUUACAUGUUUCUUAUCUAAGGUCAGUGCUUGGUUUCAGCAUACUUCCUGUUAUGUGUGAUGCUCGGUUACUAACGUGAAUCAUUGGGAUAGCUGCUAUUGAGCUCAUGCAACUUUCAUAACAUCACGGAACUUCUAUUCAAUAUGUCAUAAUGGCAGGAUCGAAUAAGCCUCUGGGCCAGUGAUUCCCCUUGGUCUGGGAGGUGGCUGGGAAGCAGAUUUUGCCCUGCUCAUUUCUGAAGUGCAAUAAAUCCUGCUGCCUUUGGAGCCUGACAGCCAGUCCGGAUGUGAUCGGAAAACCAACGGGUGCUCGCUGUCAGAAAGUUGGGUUAAGGCUGUGCAUGGGAGCAGCACUUUGCGCAUGGUUACAUCGUAGACCAGAGAACCAGGGAUCCAAACAGUUCAUCUCUCCUUCAGCCAGCUGGCUGGGACAUGUCAGCUGCUCUGAAACUCAGCUCACAGCCUCAUAAAACGAUGUUAAUAGUGGUGUUUGCUGGGCUGCAAGCUGAGCCUGAUUCUAGAUCUGCUGGAAAUGCCAGGCAGGGGAUGCCUCCACGCUUCCAUAUUGCUGCAUUUGGAUUGGCUUCUCCAAGAGCUGCAAAUAAACAAGUUGAUGGCCUGAUUUUAUCAGCCACACAGGAAGGUGAAUAUAAAAGAACCAAGGAAAAAAAAAAAAAAAAAAAAAAAGAGGAAGAAGAAAGAGGAAAGGGGAUUCAAAUUAACAGCGAUCCCAAUUCCCUGAGUUUCAGUUAAACAAUCUCAUUAAUCCUGUCUGCAGUGCAUGUACUAUGCCUGUGCUCCCCGCUCUGACAGGUCCCCAAAUCACAUUCACUGC
Molecule: long non-coding RNA, 1307 nt
Filed under: Coturnix japonica (Japanese quail)
Lineage: Eukaryota; Metazoa; Chordata; Aves; Galliformes; Phasianidae
Description: lncRNA (ENSCJPG00005007130.1)
Source: RNAcentral